AAGGUAGCAUAAUCAUUUGUUCUCUAAAUAAGGACUUGUAUGAAUGGCCACACGAGGGUUUAACUGUCUCUUACUCCCAAUCAGUGAAAUUGACCUUCCCGUGAAGAGGCGGGAAUGCCACAAUAAGACGAGAAGACCCUAUGGAGA
RNAcentral lists this ribosomal RNA (147 nucleotides) under Canis aureus (golden jackal). Its description in RNAcentral is "partial large subunit ribosomal RNA". It matches the Rfam family "Bacterial large subunit ribosomal RNA", at positions 1953 to 2099 of the family's 2925-position model. The record is from RNAcentral. Lineage: Eukaryota; Metazoa; Chordata; Mammalia; Carnivora; Canidae.